RNAcentral lists this long non-coding RNA (344 nucleotides) under Monodelphis domestica (gray short-tailed opossum). Its description in RNAcentral is "lncRNA (ENSMODG00000034231.2)". The record is from RNAcentral. Lineage: Eukaryota; Metazoa; Chordata; Mammalia; Didelphimorphia; Didelphidae.
UAUAUGUAAAUUGUAAGACCACUGAACCACAGUUGCAAUGAACUUUACAUGUGGAUAUAUUUUUAUCAACAUAGGAGCAUGUAUCCCUUUAAACGAAGCCAUGUUAAAAAAAAAGAUGAUCUUAACCUAUCUAACAAGUAUCUGCUUGCAUCAUCUGUAUCCAAUAACUCUGCUGGAAUUUGUCUUCAUCAUCAACUAGUAUGAAGCUCAACCUUUGCUGUGAUCAUAAAUUUGGAGGUUAAUGAAGACUGCAGGCACUAGGAAGAUGGAGAGGUAUUGGAAAGAAGAAGUAAAAUAAUUUUAUGAUUUGAAAUCAAAUGUCCAGUUUCUUUUGAUUCAGGGGC